This 253-nucleotide ribosomal RNA is filed under the name uncultured bacterium. RNAcentral describes it as "partial 16S ribosomal RNA". It matches the Rfam family "Bacterial small subunit ribosomal RNA", at positions 524 to 776 of the family's 1533-position model. The record is from RNAcentral.
UACGGGGGGGGCAAGCGUUGUUCGGAAUUACUGGGCGUAAAGGGUUCGUAGGUGGCCAACUAAGUCAGACGUGAAAUCCCUCGGCUUAACCGGGGAACUGCGUCUGAUACUGGAUGGCUUGAGUUUGGGAGAGGGAUGCGGAAUUCCAGGUGUAGCGGUGAAAUGCGUAGAUAUCUGGAGGAACACCGGUGGCGAAGGCGGCAUCCUGGACCAACACUGACACUGAGGAGCGAAAGCCAGGGGAGCAAACGGG